UACGGAGGGUGCAAGCGUUGUUCGGAAUUAUUGGGCGUAAAGGGCGUGUAGGCGGUUCGUUAAGUCUGCUGUGAAAGCCCCGGGCUCAACCCGGGAAGUGCAUUGGAAACUGGCGAACUUGAGUACGGGAGAGGGCAGUGGAAUUCCUAGUGUAGGAGUGAAAUCCGUAGAUAUUAGGAGGAACACCGGUGGCGAAGGCGGCUGCCUGGACCGAUACUGACGCUGAGACGCGAAAGCGUGGGGAGCAAACAGG
Molecule: ribosomal RNA, 253 nt
Filed under: uncultured bacterium
Lineage: Bacteria
Description: partial 16S ribosomal RNA
Rfam family: Bacterial small subunit ribosomal RNA
Source: RNAcentral